RNAcentral lists this transfer RNA (74 nucleotides) under Streptomyces sp. SID3343. It matches the Rfam family "tRNA". From Rfam's summary of the family: Transfer RNA (tRNA) molecules are approximately 80 nucleotides in length. Their secondary structure includes four short double-helical elements and three loops (D, anti-codon, and T loops). RNAcentral also lists the same sequence under 6 other names. The record is from Rfam by way of RNAcentral. Lineage: Bacteria; Bacillati; Actinomycetota; Actinomycetes; Kitasatosporales; Streptomycetaceae.
GGGGCGGUAGCUCAGCUGGUUAGAGCAGGGGACUCAUAAUCCCUUGGCCGUGGGUUCGAGUCCCACCCGCCCCA